This is a small nucleolar RNA of Rattus norvegicus (Norway rat), 104 nucleotides long. Ensembl annotates it as small nucleolar RNA U13. The record is from Ensembl. Lineage: Eukaryota; Metazoa; Chordata; Mammalia; Rodentia; Muridae.
AUCCUUUCGGUUCAUAAAGCGUGAUGAUUGGGUGUUCAUGCCAUUGUGUGACAUGUGCUGCCCACUAAACCUUGUUAUGACAUGGGCACAUUACCUGACUGACG